This 831-nucleotide long non-coding RNA is filed under the name Cyanistes caeruleus (blue tit). RNAcentral describes it as "lncRNA (ENSCCEG00000003808.1)". Lineage: Eukaryota; Metazoa; Chordata; Aves; Passeriformes; Paridae. The record is from RNAcentral.
GCCUGUCUUACUAAACUCCUUCUCAUUUCCAUGAAAAUAUGAUGGAGGACAAGAUGCUGAGUGGUUUUGAUCUGGAACAAUGAAUAUCCUUUAUUCUAACCUGGGAAUUUAGCUCAGGAACAGGAACUUUAGGGCUGCAAUCAGGAUUCCAAAGGCAUUCAAGUGCACAGUUAGUUUCUGUUACUCAACACUGUUCCAUAUCAGUGUUUUAUUUUCUUUAUUUCAUCUUGGCUUUGUUUUGGUUUAUCCGAUUUAAUUUCUCCAAAAGAAAAUAAGCCCCAAACCUCCCAGUUAAUGCAUUGAGUUGACAUUAUCUUAUUGGAAAUGACAGUCUGACCACUCAAUAGCCCCAAGCCCUGGCAGAACCCUCAAAUCCUGGACAUCUCAGUGGGAGCAGGAAAAAGAACAUUUAAAAAAUAACUUCAUUUAAGAAAUGAAAUGAAGAAUUCUUUAAGAAGAGGUGAUCCCUUAAAAGUGGAGAGGAGCUCUCUUGUUUUAGUCCAACCAUCAGAAGAAAAGGGAUUAAAGCCACCACACAGCAUCAGAUCUGUCUCUGAUACAAACAUCCAUUUCAUGGGAGAUAGAGCCAAAGACUGGACUCCGAGCUUACAGGACAUUAAGGACAGAUUAGAAACUCUUAAGUGUGAUGUGGUGACUGAGCCUGGAGCUUCUCUUGGUCUUCAAACUACCAUGGUGCUACCAUAGCUGAGCUGACUGACCAAAGGAUGAAUUUUAGAGAACAUUGCUGGCUUGUCAUUCACAGAAAGGAGCUUUCACUUGGCAUUUAGGGUGCUUUUAAUAAAUUCUUCCCUAGGAAUAGUGUGUGCUCCA